UUUGAUCCUGGCUCAGAUUGAACGCUGGCGGCAGGCCUAACACAUGCAAGUCGAGCGGAAACAACAGCUAUUCCUUUUUUUAAAAGGAUAAUUGGUUGUCGAGCGGCGGACGGGUGAGUAAUGCCUAGGAAGUUGCCCAGUAGAGGGGGAUAACCAUUGGAAACGAUGGCUAAUACCGCAUAAACUCUUUGGAGAAAAGCAGGGGACCUUUUAUAGGCCUUGCGCUAUUGGAUACGCCUAGGUGGGAUUAGCUAGUUGGUAAGGUAAUGGCUUACCAAGGCGACGAUCCCUAGCUGGUCUGAGAGGAUGAACAGCCACACUGGAACUGAGACACGGUCCAGACUCCUACGGGAGGCAGCAGUGGGGAAUAUUGCACAAUGGGCGCAAGCCUGAUGCAGCCAUGCCGCGUGUGUGAAGAAGGCCUUAGGGUUGUAAAGCACUUUCAGCAGUGAGGAAGAUAUGCAUCUAAUACAUGUAUAUUUUGACGUUAACUGCACAAGAAGCACCGGCUAACUCCGUGCCAGCAGCCGCGGUAAUACGGAGGGUGCGAGCGUUAAUCGGAAUUACUGGGCGUAAAGCGCAUGUAGGUGGUUCGAUAAGUUAGAUGUGAAAGCCCGGGGCUUAACCUCGGAACUGCAUUUAAAACUGUCAGACUAGAGUACUAUAGAGGGGGGUGGAAUUUCAGGUGUAGCGGUGAAAUGCGUAGAGAUCUGAAGGAAUACCAGUGGCGAAGGCGACCCCCUGGAUAGAUACUGACACUCAGAUGCGAAAGCGUGGGGAGCAAACAGGAUUAGAUACCCUGGUAGUCCAUGCCGUAAACGAUGUCUACUUGGAGGUUGUGGCCUUGAGCUGUAGCUUUCGUAGUUAACGCGUUAAGUAGACCGCCUGGGGAGUACGGUCGCAAGAUUAAAACUCAAAUGAAUUGACGGGGGCCCGCACAAGCGGUGGAGCAUGUGGUUUAAUUCGAUGCAACGCGAAGAACCUUACCUACUUUUGACAUCCAAAGAAGCCAGAGAGAUACAGGUGUGCCUUCGGGAACUUUGAGACAGGUGCUGCAUGGCUGUCGUCAGCUCGUGUUGUGAAAUGUUGGGUUAAGUCCCGCAACGAGCGCAACCCUUGUCCUUGUUUGCCAGCGAGUAAUGUCGGGAACUUCAAGGAGACUGCCGGUGAGAAACCGGAGGAAGGUGGGGACGACGUCAAGUCAUCAUGGCCCUUACGAGUAGGGCUACACACGUGCUACAAUGGUGUAUACAAAGGGUUGCCAACCAGUAAUGGUAAGCUAAUCCCCUAAAGUACAUCGUAGUCCGGAUUGGAGUCUGCAACUCGACUCCAUGAAGUCGGAAUCGCUAGUAAUCGUAGAUCAGCGCGCUACGGUGAAUACGUUCCCGGGCCUUGUACACACCGCCCGUCACACCAUGGGAGUGGGUUGCAAAAGAAGUAGGUAGUUUAACUUUCGGGAGG
This 1461-nucleotide ribosomal RNA is filed under the name Candidatus Photodesmus anomalopis. Its description in RNAcentral is "bacterial SSU rRNA". It matches the Rfam family "Bacterial small subunit ribosomal RNA". The record is from RNAcentral. Lineage: Bacteria; Pseudomonadati; Pseudomonadota; Gammaproteobacteria; Vibrionales; Vibrionaceae.